RNAcentral lists this ribosomal RNA (214 nucleotides) under uncultured bacterium. RNAcentral describes it as "partial 16S ribosomal RNA". It matches the Rfam family "Bacterial small subunit ribosomal RNA", at positions 1289 to 1500 of the family's 1533-position model. The record is from RNAcentral.
CAGUUCGGAUUGCAGGCUGCAACUCGCCUGCAUGAAGUCGGAAUUGCUAGUAAUCGCGGAUCAGAAUGCUGCGGUGAAUGCGUUCCCGGGUCUUGUACACACCGCCCGUCACACCACGGAAGUUGGGGACGCCCGAAGUCACUUAGCUAACCCUUUUGGGAAGCGAGUGUCGAAGGUGAAAUCAAUAACUGGGGUGAAGUCGUAACAAGGUACC